Molecule: long non-coding RNA, 565 nt
Organism: Oreochromis niloticus (Nile tilapia)
Lineage: Eukaryota; Metazoa; Chordata; Actinopteri; Cichliformes; Cichlidae
Exons: 3
Source: RefSeq, a predicted model, not a curated record
CACUCAAAAUGCUGACAUGAUGAGUGGAGAGCGAGCAGGCAGAGGAGGGGCUGGGUGGAAACCUGCAGACAGACAAACGAGGAGAAUGAGUAGAGCCAGGAGGAAAGAAAAGUGUUGCCUGUGUUCAGUGAGCACAUGUGCCGAUCUUCAAACACUGCAGUAAGCUACAGGGGCCUACACGGGACAAUAAUUGAUCCUCAUGUUCGCAUGAGAUCACUAAAUACAUGCAGCGAAGCCCAGAGGACACAGGACUGAGGUUGUUGUUCUUGCAUCUGUGGACAGGAUCGUCUGUUGUUCUGGAAAAACAAACCUGAAGACGCUCUGCAGAGAAACGUAAAAGUCUGCUGCCACCUGUUGUUCACUCAGAGCAUCGCAGAUGCCAUGGUUUUUACAACAUAUAAAUAACCUUUAAUAUCAGUUAUCACUUUAGUAGGAACACUAAAUGGUUGUAUGUUUGGUUUAGUUUCCAGAAUGAGUUUUAGUUCAGUUUUUAUUUGUUUCUUUAUUUGUUUUAUUUGUUUGUUACGAGUUUAAGUGUUCUGUAAAAACAUUUGAGCCAGAGUAA